This 445-nucleotide ribosomal RNA is filed under the name uncultured bacterium. Its description in RNAcentral is "partial 16S ribosomal RNA". It matches the Rfam family "Bacterial small subunit ribosomal RNA", at positions 354 to 796 of the family's 1533-position model. The record is from RNAcentral.
GUGAGGAAUAUUGGUCAAUGGGCGGGAGCCUGAACCAGCCAAGUCGCGUGAAGGAAGAAGGAUCUAUGGUUCGUAAACUUCUUUUGCAGGGGAAUAAAGUGCAGGACGUGUCCUGUUUUGUAUGUACCCUGAGAAUAAGGAUCGGCUAACUCCGUGCCAGCAGCCGCGGUAAUACGGAGGAUCCGAGCGUUAUCCGGAUUUAUUGGGUUUAAAGGGUGCGUAGGUGGUUUGAUAAGUCAGCGGUGAAAGUUUGCAGCUUAACUGUAAAAAUGCCGUUGAAACUGUCGGACUUGAGUGUAAAUGAGGUAGGCGGAAUGCGUGGUGUAGCGGUGAAAUGCAUAGAUAUCACGCAGAACUCCGAUUGCGAAGGCAGCUUACUAAGCUACAACUGACACUGAAGCACGAAAGCGUGGGGAUCAAACAGGAUUAGAUACCCCGGUAGUCC